AUUGUACAAAAAUAUUAUUAUUCAGUGUGCCGAGGUGCUGCAAUAGCAGCACUCGGCACAAUGACUAUUAUUGCCCAUACUUAUU
This is a long non-coding RNA of Etheostoma spectabile (orangethroat darter), 85 nucleotides long. RefSeq lists it as uncharacterized. Lineage: Eukaryota; Metazoa; Chordata; Actinopteri; Perciformes; Percidae. The record is from RefSeq and is a predicted model, not a curated record. The transcript has 3 exons.